RNAcentral lists this ribosomal RNA (253 nucleotides) under uncultured bacterium. Its description in RNAcentral is "partial 16S ribosomal RNA". It matches the Rfam family "Bacterial small subunit ribosomal RNA", at positions 524 to 776 of the family's 1533-position model. The record is from RNAcentral.
UACAGAGGCCCCGAGCGUUAAUCGGAAUCACUGGGCUUAAAGGGUGCGCAGGCGGAUCGGAAAGUGUUUUGUGAAAUCCCUCGGCUCAACCGGGGAACAGCAGGGCAAACUCCCGAUCUUGAGACAGGUAGGGGUCGAUGGAACCAUGGGUGGAGCGGUGAAAUGCGUAGAUAUCCAUGGGAACGCCAAUGGCGAAGGCAGUCGACUGGGCCUGUUCUGACGCUCAGGCACGAAAGCGUGGGGAGCAAACAGG